AUUAUCAUCAGUAUUCUUCUUUAGUUCUAAAGAGAUAUUUUUCCUGUUUAAGGUGGCUUAAAGAGAAUUAAGUUUAAUUAUGGCUUUAGGAUUAGUUCAAUAAAUAAUUUAUAUGUUGAUAUUUUUAAAAUCAUAUUAAACAGUCUAUGAUAUUUCUGAUUUAUAUAACGUUAAAGAAGUAAUUUAGUUUAUAAUUGAUUAAUAUUGUGCCAGCAGUCGCGGUUAUACAUUAAAUUUAUAUUAAUUCUUUAAGUUUAGAUAUUUAUAAAUAUUCUGAAUAUUGAAAUUUGAUAUUUAGGUGAAAUUUAUAUUUAAUAUAUUUUUCUAUUCUAUAGGUAUAUUAAAAUUUUUUUGUAGACUAGGAUUAGAUACCCUAUUAUUAAAUAUUAAGUUGCUUAACUUGAAUAAAAGUAGUUAUAUUCUUCAUAACUCAAAUGAUUUGGCGGUAAAUUAUAUUUUUCAGAGGAACCUGUAAAUUGAUUGAUAAACCACAAUAGUUUAUACUUUAUAUUUACUUAUAUAUCUCUAUAGAAGGAUUAUUUUAUAAGAAUUAUUUUCUUUAAAU
This 565-nucleotide ribosomal RNA is filed under the name Darthula hardwickii. Its description in RNAcentral is "12S ribosomal RNA". Lineage: Eukaryota; Metazoa; Arthropoda; Insecta; Hemiptera; Aetalionidae. The record is from RNAcentral.